UCCGGUUCGUCACCGGCAGUCUCCUUAGAGUGCCCACCAUAACGUGCUGGUAACUAAGGACAAGGGUUGCGCUCGUUACGGGACUUAACCCAACAUCUCACGACACGAGCUGACGACAGCCAUGCAGCACCUGUCUCAGCGUUCCCGAAGGCACCAAUCCAUCUCUGGAAAGUUCGCUGGAUGUCAAGAGUAGGUAAGGUUCUUCGCGUUGCAUCGAAUUAAACCACAUGCUCCACCGCUUGUGCGGGCCCCCGUCAAUUCAUUUGAGUUUUAACCUUGCGGCCGUACUCCCCAGGCGGUCGACUUAACGCGUUAGCUCCGGAAGCCACUCCUCAAGGGAACAACCUCCAAGUCGACGUCGUUUACGGCGUGGACUAC
This 378-nucleotide unclassified non-coding RNA is filed under the name uncultured Gammaproteobacteria bacterium. Its description in RNAcentral is "contains 16S-23S intergenic spacer region". Lineage: Bacteria; Pseudomonadati; Pseudomonadota; Gammaproteobacteria. The record is from RNAcentral.